GGGGAUGUAAGGUUUCGACGGAUUUUUGAAGAUAUUAUAAGCGAGUAGUGGAUUCUCGUUGGCCACUAUAAAAACGAGAAAUUAAAAUUAAACGCAGAUAGACAAUUUGCAAUGGCUGCCUAGUUUAUAGCAGCGGUUUUUAUUUACUUUGCUAGAGAGUAGAUAAAGGCUUCAUAACUAUCUAGCUAACAAAUUUAUCUAAAGAUUGUAGGAUAAAGGGUAAGUACAAUCAUAUUACUACAUUUUUUGUAAAUGUUUUAUUGUGGUAAUAUUAUUUAAACAUUUACUGCACUCGGAGAAAGUAAUAUUAACGAAUUUUCGGACGUGGGUUCGAUUCCCACCAUCUCCACCA
RNAcentral lists this transfer-messenger RNA (352 nucleotides) under chicken gut metagenome. It matches the Rfam family "transfer-messenger RNA". Rfam says of the family: Bacterial tmRNA, also known as 10Sa RNA or SsrA, is named for its dual tRNA and mRNA-like properties. Its role is to liberate the mRNA from a stalled ribosome. To accomplish this part of the tmRNA is used as a reading frame that ends in a translation stop signal. The record is from RNAcentral.